This is a non-coding RNA of Megalops atlanticus (tarpon), 83 nucleotides long. The record is from the annotation of a GenBank genome assembly. NCBI's taxonomy places the organism in Eukaryota, Metazoa, Chordata, Actinopteri, Elopiformes, Megalopidae.
ACCAGGAUGGCUGAGUGGUUAAGGUGUUGGACUUAAGAUCCAAUGGAUGUGUGUCUGUAUGGGUUUGAACCCCACUCCUGGUA